Molecule: ribosomal RNA, 271 nt
Filed under: uncultured archaeon
Lineage: Archaea
Description: partial 16S ribosomal RNA
Rfam family: Archaeal small subunit ribosomal RNA
Source: RNAcentral
CGGCGCCACGAGUGGUGAUCAUUUUUAUUGGGCCUAAAGCGUUCGUAGCCGGUUUGAUAAAUCUUCUGUGAAAUUGUCAAGCUUAACUUGACAGCGUGCAGAAGACACUAUUAAACUUGGAACCGGGAGGAGUCAGAGGUAUUCUUUGGGGAGCGGUAAAAUGCUAUAAUCCUCAGAGGACCACCAGUGGCGAAGGCGUCUGACUAGAACGGAUUCGACAGUGAGGGACGAAAGCCAGGGGAGCGAUCCGGAUUAGAGACCCGAGUAGUCC